Molecule: long non-coding RNA, 1591 nt
Filed under: Panax ginseng (ginseng)
Lineage: Eukaryota; Viridiplantae; Streptophyta; Magnoliopsida; Apiales; Araliaceae
Description: long non-coding RNA (PGIN_LNC000300)
Source: RNAcentral
GGAAGCGGACUACUAGACGGACCAAGGCAAAAAAAAAAUACGUGGGUCUUAAAACAUGAGGAGGGUCAAAAAAAAAGAGGGGGAAACUGAAUUCUGAGAUGAUAAACACCGAAUCCGUCUCUCUCUCUCCUCGAUGCUCUCUCCCCAAAUCCUGUCGUUUCUCUCCCCGAUUCUGAGUAGUUUUAGGCUGGAUCGCCGGAAGGCCGGAUCCAUCAAUGCUUCUGCCCCUUUACACUUCUGCCCCUUCUCUCCCCAAAUCCUGCCGUUUCUCUCUCCUCGAUUCUGAGCAAUCUCCACAAAUUCCCUCUCUAUCAAAGCGAGUCUGAAACAAUCGAACAGACCUUGUUGUAAACGUAGAGGUAAAGAUUCUAAACAGCUUGCAAGAUAGAGUAAUCUUUUUGAAGAGAGUGAGUGUCGUCAUAAAAUUUAUUUGUUCUAAUUUUAAACCGGUCCCUCUUGUUGUAUUUUUGUUAGAUUUUCUCCUUAUAAGUAUUUUAAUUGUUUUAGCUUACUCUGAUACAUCCAAAGUUGCAUAAAGUUGAUGUUGUUCGAAGAAUUUUGGUGCUAUUCUUUUUUAAGAGUUUAUUUGUUUUAAAUUUUCAUACUAUUUGAACUGGUCUUUAUUUGCUGGUGAAAGCAUCUGGCCCCUAUAUGGUUUCUUGUGAUGGAUAUGAUUGGAUUUUCUAAUUAUGGUAAAAAAAACUUAUAAGUACUUGUAUGUUUUUUCAAUGGACAAACAUUCAAAUGCUAAGUAUGAUCAGGAACAUUUGUGCUGUUCUUGGGAAUAUCUAUUUAUUUAAGGUAGCUGCGCUCUGGUUUUAACUGUUUUUUUAAAUAAUUGCAUUUUGAGACUUCUUGAAUCCACAGUAAUUUUCGAGAAGCAAAUUCUCAGGAAAUAUAUAUGGUUGUUUAUCUUAAAAAUAGGAACUUAUCAAAUAAUAUUUGACAGUUGACUGGUCAAUACAUAAUGAGGUGGGAAGAUAUAUUCGGCAUAAUUCCAUCUGUUAAUCAUUUGUUUGCAGGGUCCUUGUGUAUUUCUGGUCGGGCUAAAGUAGAUAUGAAGCCUGCCCACUGAAUGUUUGAUUAGCGAUAAAUGUUGGACACUUGGACCACAUAAAAACUACACCCUGAGGAAAGUGGCAAGGGGAGAGGUUCAGUGAAAUCAAGUCGGAUUUUUUCAGAAAGUGGCUGAAAGCUAUGUCAAAAAUAGAUCAAAGCUGAGACUUCUCUGCUCUCUCCUCAAACUGUUCAGAUCAAAGCUCAGAUCAAAAUAGAACCUCUGCUUCCAUCCCUCUCUCACACAAUAAAGUAGCAGAUAUAAACCCACCCCUUGUAAUAACCAAGUAUCUGCUGAUGGGAGAUAAAAAGCAGAGUGGCUGCUAUGGCAGAUUUUGGAUGUAAUUUGAUGUAUUUUCUGUUGUGCAAUGUUGUUAAUUUUCUUUUUUUAAAACAGAGGUUAGUUCAUCUAGUAUAACCUGUGUUCUGUGCUAUUAUAUGCCACUGUAUAGCUUGAUGAGGAUGAUUUGUACAUAAAGUAAAUAAACAUGGAUUUUACAAGAAGCAACUUAUCUGCAAUGGUAGUAAAACGGCC